This 484-nucleotide ribosomal RNA is filed under the name uncultured bacterium. RNAcentral's name for it is "partial 16S ribosomal RNA". It matches the Rfam family "Bacterial small subunit ribosomal RNA", at positions 30 to 507 of the family's 1533-position model. The record is from RNAcentral.
AUUGAACGCUGGCGGCAGGCCUAACACAUGCAAGUCGGGCGGAUGAAGGGAGCUUGCUCCUGGAUUCAGCGGCGGACGGGUGAGUAAUGCCUAGGAAUCUGCCUGGUAGUGGGGGAUAACGUCCGGAAACGGGCGCUAAUACCGCAUACGUCCUGAGGGAGAAAGUGGGGGAUCUUCGGACCUCACGCUAUCAGAUGAGCCUAGGUCGGACUAGCUAGUUGGUGGGGUAAAGGCCUACCAAGGCGACGAUCCGUAACUGGCCUGAGAGGAUGAUCAGUCACACUGGAACUGAGACACGGUCCAGACUCCUACGGGAGGCAGCAGUGGGGAAUAUUGGACAAUGGGCGAAAGCCUGAUCCAGCCAUGCCGCGUGUGUGAAGAAGGUCUUCGGAUUGUAAAGCACUUUAAGUUGGGAGGAAGGGCAGUAAGUUAAUACCUUGCUGUUUUGACGUUACCAACAGAAUAAGCACCGGCUAACUUCGUG